GAUGAACGCUGGCGGCGUGCCUAAUACAUGCAAGUCGAGCGAACAGACGAGGAGCUUGCUCCUCUGACGUUAGCGGCGGACGGGUGAGUAACACGUGGAUAACCUACCUAUAAGACUGGGAUAACUUCGGGAAACCGGAGCUAAUACCGGAUAAUAUAUUGAACCGCAUGGUUCAAUAGUGAAAGACGGUUUUGCUGUCACUUAUAGAGGGAUCCGCGCCGCAUUAGCUAGUUGGUAAGUUAACGGCUUACCAAGGCAACGAUGCGUAGCCGCCCCCAGAGGGUGAUCGGCCACCCUGGAACUGAGACACGGUCCAGACUCCUACGGGAGGAAGCAGUAGGGAAUCUUCCGCAAUGGGCGAAAGCCUGACGGAGCAACGCCGCGUGAGUGCUGAAGGUCUUCGGAUCGUAAAACUCUGUUAUUAGGGAAGAACAAAUGUGUAAGUAACUAUGCACGUCUUGACGGUACCUAAUCAGAAAGCCACGGCUAACUACGUG
This 497-nucleotide ribosomal RNA is filed under the name uncultured bacterium. Its description in RNAcentral is "partial 16S ribosomal RNA". It matches the Rfam family "Bacterial small subunit ribosomal RNA", at positions 28 to 507 of the family's 1533-position model. The record is from RNAcentral.